AGAUUUGUGCAUCUGAUUCAUCGUAUUGCUCCAAUCUGAGUGAGUCAUACACUCGGUCAGCUCUGUCAAGGAACAGAAGGUUUCAUCCACAUUCAGAUUCUGGAAUAUCAUCCCUGGUAAAUACUUUUCAUUUGCUCUUUACCUAAUGCGAAGUUCAUAAAAUGUACUUUAUCUUGCAUUGAACUUUUAAAAUUUAAACCCAAGUUAGUUAACAUAUAGUGUAAUAAUGGUUUCAGGAGUAGAAUUUAGUGAUUCAUCACUUACAUAUAAUACCCAGUGCUCAUUCAACAAGUGCCCUCCUUAAUGUCCAUCACCCAUUUAGCCCAUCCCCCCCACCCCACACCGCUCCAGCAACCCUCAGUUUGUUCUCUGUAUUCAAGAGUCUCUUAUGGUUUGUCUCCCUGUUCUUAUUUUUACUUCCCUUCCCUUAUGUUCAUCUGUUUGUAUCUUAAAUUCACAUAUGUGUGAAGUCACGUGAUACUUGUCUUUCUCUGACUGACUUAUUUCACUUAGCAUAAUACACCCAAGUUCUAUCCACGUUGUUGCAAAUGGCAAGAUUUCAUUCUUUUUGCUUGCCAAAUAAUAUUCCACUGUGUGUGUGUGUGUGUGUGUGUGUGUGUGUGUGUAUUUAUAUAUACCACUUCUUUAUCCAUUCAUCAGUUGAUGAACAUGUGGUCUCUUUCCAUAUUUUGGCUAUUAUCAAUAGUGCUGCUAUAAACAUCAGAGUGCAUGUGCCCCUUUGAAUCAGCACUCCUAUAUCCUUUGGAUAAAUACCUAGUAGUGUAAUUUCUGGGUCAUAGGGUAGUUAUACUUUUUAAUUUUUUGAGGAACCUCCAUACUGUUUUCCAAAGUGGCUGCACAAGUUUGCAUUCCCACCAGCAGUUCAAAAGUAUUCCUCUUUCUCCGCAUCCUCACCAGCAUGUCAUUGCCUGAGUUGUUAAUUUUAGCCAUUCUGACAGAUGUGAGGUGGUAUCUCAUCGUGGUUUUGAUUUGCAUUUCCUUGAUGAGUGAUGUUAAGCAUCUUUUCACAGGUCCAUUAAUUAGCCUUCUGGAUGUCUUCUUUGGAAAAGUAUUCAUGUCUUCUGCCCAUUUCUUCACUGGAUUAUUUGUUUUUGGGGUGUUGAGUUUGAUAAAUUCCUUAUAGAUUUUGAAUACUAAUCCUUUAUCUGAUAUGUCAUUUGCAAAUAUCUUCUCCCAUUCUGUACAUUGCCUUUUAGUUUUGCUGAUUGUUUUCCUCACCGUGCAGAAACUUUUUAUCUUGAUGAGGUCCUAAUAGUUCAUUUUUGCUUUUGUUUCCCUUUCCUCUGGAGAUGUGUCUAGUAAGAAGUUGCUGUAGCUGAGGUUAGAGGUUGCUGCCUAUGUUCUCCUUUAGGAUUUUGAGGGCUUCCCGUCUUGCAUUUAUGGCUUUUAUCCACUUUGAGUUUAUUUUUGUGUCUGGUGUAAGAAAGUGGUCCAAGUUCACGCUUCUGCAUGUUGCUCUCCAGUUUUCCCAACACCAUAUGCUGAGGAGACUGUCUUUUUUCCAUUGGAUAUUCUUUCCUGUUUUGUCAAAGAUUAGUUGGCCUCUUACAUUGAACAUUUUUAAAUAAGUGUACAAAGUUCUUAAAUCUACCCUUGUAAUUGGGAAGGAAUGAAAUGUUGGCACCCCCAGUCCCAACUCAGAGGGGAAAUGGAAAGAAGCUGGAGUGGGAAGGAAGGCAAACCGGAGAUGAAUAGAAAAGGCAGUGACCACCAAAACAGAAAUGGCAUCCCUUCCUUUCCCCUGCUGAGUUCAAAUUCUGUCUCUGGCCUAAGAUGUAUCUCCUUUCUUUCUGGAAUGUCCUUUGUCCUCAAGAUGAAAUGGUUUCCUGCCAAACUCACCACUUCCAAGACUUUCCCCUCUGCCAUCUCAGUGGAACCGUAUGGGCUUUUCCCUCCUUUCCUUCAUUUAUAAUUGUUUCAUCUAGCCCCUGGAUAAAGAUGGGUUACUCAAAUAUCUGCCUCUCCAAUUAUAGGAAACGAGUUUUUCAAGCACAAAUGCCAUAUUUUAUUUAACUUUAUAUCCCCAGUGCCUGACACACAGCAGGGUACAGUAUAUAUUUUUGAAUAAAUGAGUGAAAUGAAAUGAAGCAAACCAACUUUGGAAAUAUUUAUUGAACCAAUGGAUUAAUCACUUCUUCCAUCAGAAUUAAGAAAGGAACAACAAAAAGGUAAGACACAAGUAUUCACUAUUCCUUUAGGAAGAAGCAAUGGUCACACAACUGCAGCAUAUUGACAACCUCACAUAAACAUAAACAGAGAAAUGUAAUAGCUCAUUUUCCUAUAAUAUCAGAAAUCCCCAAAUCAACCACAGAACUCCUUUAAAAAGGCAAACAGUAUUUUGUACAAAAUUAGAUGUUGGUUGAAAAAUGGAAACUUUCUUCUCAAAUACAGCUUUAACUUAGAUUCUUCUUUUUCCAGUAAGAUCAUCAGGAAAUAGCACAAAAAGGCAAUGGGGUAUGGCAACUCCAGGGAAUUUAACUUCUAAUAUAUUUUUAUUCUGUGAUAGAAGCAAGAAAAAACAAUCCAAAAGCACAUUGGAAAUUGGGAACGAAGCUUCCAUAAACAUGUGAACUCAACAGCCAAGAAUAGUCCAGGGAUCACAUUCCUCAAUAAUCUAAAAUGUUUCUUGGUCUUUUAAAUAAUAUUUCCAAAGAAUGAGUGAAUUCCUUAAAAUCAUAUUAGCAAAUCCUCAGAUUAUCUCAAAGAAUUGCUCAAGCGUUCAUUAGCUUUUUAGCUUUUUGCUAUCAAUAAGGUAGAGAGAUUUUGUUACUCUAUUUUUAAAUGAAGAUAUGGAGGUAUUUACUAGAACAGCCAUGGUCAGUAGUGAGUAAGCAAUGAAGAUAAAAAAAAAAUCAAAGCUAAAUGAUUAUUAAAAAGCCACCUCUUAUCAAUUUCUUCUGAGUCGGCAUGUUCCAAAUUCUGCUUCACAAGAUGCACGAGACCCCCGUGCUGCUUCAAAAAUAAAAGUUUUUAUGGUUUAAAAAGUCCAGGGGAACACUUUGUGAGUAGAGACUCACAGUGUAUAUUAGCAAAUAAUGGCUCUGCAGAGUCCUGUAGCAAAGGGAAAUGCUUCACUUAGUUCAGUCCAGAGCCUCAGAAGCUUAUUCAGUGGUGGAAAUUUUUUUUUUUAUGUUAGUAUUAGUCACACAAAUUUACAGCUCAAGCAAAACAUAAGCUAUGUGCAAUGCUUCUCUGUGAGAUGAAAGUGGUUGUUCCAAAUACUCUAAUGACAUUUCUUUGUAUCAAAUAUUCUGGGUUUGUUUACGUGUACAACACUGGCUAACAGAAGAAUGAAUGUAUGGUGUCUGUAUUUAACAGAACACUCUUUUCCGUGUAAUAUGCCUUUUCAUUUGUGUUAACUUUGAGACUAUCAUAUACCAUAUAAGAUACAGGGAAUUUUGAUUGACUACAACCUCCAUAAUGGUAAACAAUAAAAAAUUGCCCCAAAUAUGAUGUUGGCACAAAGUCUGGUUGGUAAUACACUGUCCAGAACAAGGAAGAUGACCAGACCUACAAUAUUUCUUUCAAUACUGGCUACACAUUUUAAGAACAAUGUCAAUAAAUUAGAACUCUUUCCAAGGAGAAUCAUAUAAUGAUGUGUCAGCUAUGAUCUGUGAGUAAUAACGGUACGACUUAGGAAGAAGAUGACAAUCGUUACGAAACACUUAAAAUAGUAGCCACGUGUGACGUCUAUGGAGCCUCAAAAGGCAGAACUUUGACAAUUGAAGCAAGUUAGAGAGGCUUGGGGUCCCGUAUAAUAACGAGCCGCCAACAAUUAGAACUGUUAUAAAACGGAAAAGGGAAUGAGAUCUCUCAAUCUAAAUAAAUCAGGUAGUUUCAUUUUAUAUUUUUACCAAGCAUUUUAAAUUUGGUACAAUAAACCAAUAUUUGACUAUUCCUUUAUAUCCUAUCAAAUUUUAUAAGUGUACUAGUGUGACUGCAAAGAAUUGUUAUCUGUAGCCCCUAAUAUACAUUCAAUAAAUAUUAAAGAAUGAUUUAUCAGAGGUGCUGUAAAGCGGAUUCAUGAAUGGGUAUACGUAUGUAUCACUAUUGUCAUUUAUCACCAGAUGUAAAUCAGUUGCAGGUGUUGGAGAUGCUAAUCUGUAUAAGAAGACAUAAUUUAAAAUGAACUAAAAUGACUUCUAUAAGGACACCGUCAGGUAUUUGCAGUUCAAUGUGGCUGAAUGUUUGGCGAUGAUCUGUAUUACUUUUACACAUAAAAGUACAUGAAUCGCAUAUGACCAGAUGCUAUUUCUCUUCUUGUUUUAAAGCUUCCAUCAGACUCCUUUAAGUUCCUCACUUGGCACAAGGUAGAACAACAUGACAUUCAAGGAAGUCAGCUGCGUUGCCCAAGAAUAAGAGAAGGUAAAGAACAAAUGUAUUUGUUCUUUGUGUACAUGCUCUGAGUUGAUUGUAUCUGUGGAUUAGAAACAUUACUUGGGGAAACAAAUAUAUUACUUGGAGGUAGACAAAUUUUCUUUAUCAAGACCAAAGAAUUAUUAAUAUAGUUAGUGAAGCCACUUUAAAGCACGGUCACAUAUCUGGUUAUAUAAAUAAUGAAUGUUCAGUGUUAAAUACUAGAAAAAUAGAAAGAUGAAAAUGAGCUUGUAAUUCAAUGAUACACAAAUAACCACUGUGAUUUAUUUUGUUUCUGUUUUGCCUUUUUUUGAAAAAUAUAUUCACAUACUUCUUCACGGAAUUGUACAAAAAAAUUGUAUCUUGAGUUUUUUUGCUUAUCUCGUUAUUGGGAGCAUUUCUUCCAUGUUGUUAAAUAUUACCCAAAACAUGUUUUUUUUUUUUUUUAAUUUUUUUUUUCAACAUUUAUUUAUUUUUGGGACAGAGAGAGAGAGAGCAUGAACGGGGGAGGGGCAGAGAGAGAGGGAGACACAGAAUCGGAAACAGGCUCCAGGCUCUGAGCCAUCAGCCCAGAGCCUGACGCGGGGCUCGAACUCACGGACCGCGAGAUCGUGACCUGGCUGAAGUCGGUCGCUUAGCCGACUGCGCCACCCAGGCGCCCCCCAAAACAUGUUUUUUAAUGGUCAUUUAUCUUUCCAUCACAUGGAUAUUACUAAAUAUAUUUAACCAGUGAUCUUUGUUGGAAUUUUAUUAUUUACAAUAUUUAAUGAUCAUGAAUGACAUUGUCACUUUGAUGAAUCACUUUAACCUGAUUUACUUCUAUCAUUGGUUUUUAAAACAUCAAUUGGGAAUCUAAAUAAACCAGGGAGUUUCAUUUUAUAUUUUCACUAAGCAUGUUAAAUUUGGUAGAAUAAACUAAUGUUAUUCUAUUCCUUCUCAUUCUGUCAGACUUUACAAGUGCACUACUGUGACAGUAUGAAGAAUUGUUAUCUGUAGCCCCUAAUAUACACAAUGUUUAAUUUUUAUAACUUUUUUUUUUAAUUUUUUUAAUGUUUAUUUACUUCUGAGAGAGAGAGACAGACAGACAGAGUGCAAGUGGGGGAAGGGGCAGAGAUAGAGGGAGACACAGAAUCCAAAGCAGGCUCCAGGCUCCGAGCUGUCAGCACAGAGCCCGAAGCCGGGCUCGAACUCACGAAUAGUGAGAUCAUGACCUGAGCUGAAGUCUGACGCUUAACCGACUGCACCACCCAGGAGCCCCAAAUUGUUAUAGCUUUCAAUGGAUUCUAUAUUAUGUAAGAAUAAGCACCAUGCAUUUCUCAUGUCUCUUUUGCAUAUCCCAUAAGCUGAUGAAAUAAUAUUAGACAUAAUUUCGGCUGCAGUGAAUAUUUAGUCAUUACAAAACAUCAAAUAUCUUGGCUAUCUUCCAUCUGUAUUUACAGAUUUGCAGUUAUAUUGUGUACUGUACCAUUGUAAUACUGAUUUAGAAGAAGUUGCUUUAAAUAUAUUCGCCUGCUCGCUUCCCUCUCCCAGUAGCAUCACUUUACCACACAAUGCCUUUCUUCUUUCACUCAAAUUCAGUUGACAAAGACAGACUAAAAUAGCAUCAUUUUCUGAAACUUUGGGUAAAAUAUGUUCUUAUGUUUUAACUCUGUCAGCUUUGUUUGCCGCUAAGCACUGACUCCUAGUUUUAAAAUAUUAGUAGAUAGUACUACUAGAGGUAAACUCAAGCUGCUCUAUGGGGACUGAGAGAGAAUACUUUUCAAAGAGCAAGAAAUUAUGGGGAUUUAGGAAAGUGGGAGGCCAAAGGAAGUAGAGACCGUAUGUGUCACAUGAAUAAGGAGUCCAUCAGUAAAAGGAAGAGAGGUCUUACCAGGGUUCAAAAUGGGCAGCUUCAGCUGGUUCUUAGACUUCAGUGUGUGGACAGUUUACCUGGAGGCCUGUGGAAAAAGCACUUUUCCAGGCCCAACUCUCAACGAAUCUGAUGUGGUUAGCGGGAAGUGGGGCCCAGGAAUCUGCAUUUGUAAACUUAUCAGGAAAUUCUGUUGCAGAUGAUCGGAGGGCCAUACUGUAAAAAUACUAGUUUCGGAAGUCUGGAGGGAAGAAAUUUGAAUAGACAGUGGAAAGACUGAUACAGUAAGGGUGCUGGCAUGUGUGUGUAUAUGUGUGUGUGUGUGUGUGUGUGUGUGUGUGUGUGUGUGUGCUUGUGCUGGUAGUGGUGGUGGUUGAUGAUUGUGCCACAGUGAGGCAAAAAUAAAUUGUACUCUGAGCAUGGAUAGAGAGUUGAGGUUUAGAGAGAACUGAACUGAAGACACUGAGGGAUGACAGGGGAAUCAGAUGUAGGAGUAAACUGACAAUGAGUAUGUGUAAAGAGAGCACGGUGGCCUCUCUCCUUCCCCGGUUUAAGCGCCAGGUCAUGUGCUAAGGUCAUCAGUCAACAAAACUAAUCCCGCAAAGGGACCACAGUGGCCAUUCAUGCAGAGGAAUCAUCGCUCUGCAGAGAUAAGGCACAUUUUCCUUCCAUAGACCAUUAACAACACCCAAUCUCUUGCAAGUGCCUAGUUGUAAAAGGAAUGGAGCAUUAUCUAGGGGAUUGAAAACAUGGGAAAAUCUCAUCACCUCAAACCGUGAAGGAAAUAGAUGUCCCUUGUUCACUGUCCUUAAUUUAGUUCAAGUUUUGUGUGUGCAUAUGUGAGAUAGACAAGUGCUUUUCAAAAGCAUUCUAGUAACAAUUACCCUUCUUCUAGAUUAGAUCCUGAAACACCCAUCCAAACUACUUCAGUUCAUCUCAGUUGCCCCAAUUGUACAUCCGGAAAGAGUUCUUAAGAAAAGAAAGGUUAUCUUGCGUGUGAUAAACAGCAAUUUCCCAAAGCUUUGAUGGCCAGAUCAAGACUGACUUGACUCCUCCCAAUUAAAUGAAGCAAAAGAGCCAACUGUUAGCAGAAUUCUUUCAGAUGUGGAUGCCUUCUAUUUGAAAAUCCCUCAGCAAGUCAAUUCAGUCACUGCUGCUAAGUUACAAAUCCAGUGAGGGGACAAAGUACCAGCUCAGAGAUGGCAGGUAAAAGUCGACAUUCCAACGAUGUCAGAUAUUCCAGACUGUAGUUCUCAACUGCUAAGAUAUAUCUUCAAUUACCAACCAAGUCCGAGUUUAAAAAAGAAAGAAUCCAAUUUAAUAUAAUUCCUCACAGUGGAAGUGACCUUUGGCUUCCAACUUCAAAGAGAUCUUUGAAAGCUGUUUUAAAAAAAAUAAUAAUUGAAAGAACAGAAGAUCAAUAGAACUCAAACAAACAAUAUAGGGCAGAGUUUAAUAAGUCUGGGGAUAUCUCUUGCACAAAGCAAGCUACCAAAUUUCGGGUGGGUGUAUUAAAGAUAAUAGAGCCCAAGUUCUGCCCAAUUAGGUGAUUAUCCAGUUUUUUCCAGUUCUGUGACUUUUAAUUCCAAUCAGCUUAAUCAAUGAGGAAGAAAAUUUAACACAAGGAUAUUUUAUGUGUAAAUUGGUUGGGAUACUUCAGGGUUAUGUGAUUUCCUGGGUGGAAACUGUACAGUUCAUUAUAAGAGAAAUACCAGAAAGGUCAGGUUGCACCUAAUCUUCCACCUGCACCUGAUGAAAGAAGAGAUGUUUGUGUCAAAAUAAUGAAAUAUUGGACUCUUUUAUUGCCUUCAUAAAUCCUUCACAAAUGGACUCAUUAUCUCCCAGCAAAGCCUGGACAAAACUGCCACAAAAGCAAAGUUUGUUCCUGAUGCCUUUAGUCACCUUUUCUUUAGUAUAUCUCUUUCUUUUCACCUGUGAAAUAAGAAUCAUGCAUUCCAGAAAAAUGGCAUGGGGGAAAUGUACACAAAUGAUUCCAGGUAGGAUUCAUAGAAACGUAUUGUGGAGUGGGAGGGAUUUGAAAUCACUGAGCUUAGGAUUGCUGUCAGGGGCCCAGUUAGCAUCAUAAUAGACUGUAGUUUUCCUGGGCAACACGAUAGAGUUAUACUUGCUAAUAAAGAAAUACAUUCUAAUGGAAUUGGAAAUCGGUAUUUUUAUAAAGCAGUAUGAACUUCAAACAAACAUAACUUCUCAUCAUAUUCAUCUCACGUUGGGCCCUUGAUUCUAGUCUUUCCUGUAUUUUUGCUGACAUGGAAAACUGAAGCUCAGAAAAUUAAAAUUAGUCAUCUGGAGAUACACAAUCACCUAGCACCCAACCUCAGACUGGAAACAGGAUAUCCUUUCAUUAACCAUGGAAAUUUUGUGCAAACCUGAUUUGGAGGACAACAGGGUUGGGAAAUAGUGGGAAUGAGUGUGGAAAUGGAGAUUGAGAUAAGAUUGUCAAAAACUUUGGGGCACUUGAGUGACUCAGUCGGUUGUCUGAUUUUGGCUCAGGUCAUGAUCUCCCAGUUUGUGGGUUUGAGCCCUGCAUUGAGCUUUGUGCUGACAGCUCAGAAUCUAGAGCCUGCUUCAGAUUCUGUGUCUCCCUCUCUCUCUGCCCCUCCCCCACUCAUGCUUUGUCUCUCUCUGUCUCUCAAAAAUGAAUAAACAUUAAAAAUUUUUAACUAAAAAAAAAAGAUUGUGGAAAACCUUGCUUGACAAGCCAGGAUUUUCCAUCUCUAAUUGGUAGGCAGUAAGAAAAUUCUGAAAUGUUUUCAACAUGGAAGUGUGGCAAAAAGCUGUGUUUCUAGAAGGCUAGAAAGGUCUAUCAUUUAUAUUGAAGGAGUGAAGAUUUCAAACAAGGAGAUCCACAAGAAAGUAGUUAUUGUUCAGGGAGGAGAUAUGAGGAUCUAGACAUUGAAAAGGAAGGGGACAGAUUCUCCAGCAGAAAGGUUAUAGAACCAAGUGGCUAACUGAGUUGAGAAACAAAAGAGAGGGAAAGUCACGAGUGACUUCAUAUCCCCAAAGAGAAAAUUAUGUGAGACUAAAGUUACUCUACUGGUGAUUUUCUUAUGUGAACAAGAAAUAAUUUAUGUAAGGUUAAAAGUUAGCUCAUUUUUUUUACUGCUCACACUAUUUGGGCAUAUUACAGACGAACUCAUGUUUUCCUCAAUUUUGAUAUCUCGUGAGAGUUUAAAAAAACUGGCCAAAUGUCAAGAGAAGGGUGCCUGGAUGGCUCAGUGGGUUAAGCAUCCGACUCUUGGUUUCAGCUCAGGCUAUGAACUUACAGUUCAUGAGUUUGAGCCCUGCAUCAGGCUCUGCACUAACAGUGAGGAGCCUGCUUGGGAUUCUCUCUCUCUCUCUCUCUCUCUCUCUCUCUCUCUGCCCCUCUCUCUUGCUCUCUCUCUCAAAAAAAAAAAAAACCACAAAAAACAAAAACAAAAAAAUCUCACAAAUAUCAAGUGAAGAUGUCAGUCCUGCUGCCCUAAACCUAUUUCCAAGAUCUCACCUUGUGAUUUUUGCCCAGGACCCUCCACAGAAGAGUUGCUCUUCAGACAGGAGGAGUGUGUCUUACCCGCUCGGAAAAGAGUCCUUGAAAAAAACAAAUGGGAAACAUGGCUACAAGAAAACUGGGAGGACUGCACGGUGAGAGCUUAAAAGACAGAAAAGGGUCUCUUCUCCACAUUGAUUCUGUUAUGACUGCCCCCCCCCAUUUUAAGGGCAAUUGCUAGCAUAAAUAUCAAAACUUUCAGCAUUUCCUCGGAGUUUUCUCUAAAACUAGUGGCGUAUG
This 10013-nucleotide long non-coding RNA is filed under the name Lynx pardinus (Iberian lynx). Lineage: Eukaryota; Metazoa; Chordata; Mammalia; Carnivora; Felidae. The record is from RNAcentral.